This 204-nucleotide ribosomal RNA is filed under the name uncultured bacterium. RNAcentral's name for it is "partial 16S ribosomal RNA". It matches the Rfam family "Bacterial small subunit ribosomal RNA", at positions 524 to 724 of the family's 1533-position model. The record is from RNAcentral.
UACGGAGGGGGCUAGCGUUGUUCGGAAUUACUGGGCGUAAAGCGCGCGUAGGCGGACCUGCAAGUCGGGGGUGAAAGCCCGAGGCUCAACCUCGGAACUGCCUUCGAUACUGCGGGUCUCGAGUCCGGGAGAGGUGAGUGGAAUUCCUAGUGUAGAGGUGAAAUUCGUAGAUAUUAGGAAGAACAACCAGUGGGCGAAAGGCGG